RNAcentral lists this long non-coding RNA (269 nucleotides) under Carica papaya (papaya). Its description in RNAcentral is "long non-coding RNA (CPAP_LNC010513)". Lineage: Eukaryota; Viridiplantae; Streptophyta; Magnoliopsida; Brassicales; Caricaceae. The record is from RNAcentral.
UUCUUGAUCUCUUCCUCUCAUCUCUAACAGUUUGUUGCAGGAAAAUGAGAAGCAUUUGGAAGCUAGAAUUGAAUGUACGUGUUUGGUUUUAAGAUUAGCUUUGGAUUGCUCUGCAGAGUCGGCUGAAGAUAGAGAGAAUAUGACAGAGGUUUUAGCAGCACUAAAGAAGAUUAGACAGAGGUUUCAGAAGAAUACUGGACGGAGACGGUGACUAAAACCAAACAUGCCAUUCAAGUGACACUAUGAUUUCCAUAUAUAUAUAUANNNNN